GAUGAAGAACGCAGCGAAAUGCGAUACGUAAUGUGAAUUGCAAAUUCAGUGAAUCAUCGAGUCUUUGAACGCACAUUGCGCCCCCUGGUAUUCCGGGGGGCAUGCCUGUCCGAGCGUCAUUGCUGCCCUCAAGCACGGCUUGUGUGUUGGGCCCCGUCCUCCGAUCCCGGGGGACGGGCCCGAAAGGCAGCGGCGGCACCGCGUCCGGUCCUCGAGCGUAUGGGGCUUUGUCACCCGCUCUGUAGGCCCGGCCGGCGCUUGCCGAUCAACCCAAAUUUUUUAUCCAGGUUGACCUCGGAUCAGGUAUGGAUACCCGCUGAACUUAAGCAUAUCAAUAAGCGGAGGA
This 346-nucleotide unclassified non-coding RNA is filed under the name soil metagenome. RNAcentral describes it as "partial contains 5.8S ribosomal RNA, internal transcribed spacer 2, and large subunit ribosomal RNA". The stretch from base 1 to 119 matches the Rfam family "5.8S ribosomal RNA", at positions 35 to 154 of the family's 154-position model. The record is from RNAcentral.